This 76-nucleotide small RNA is filed under the name Gallibacterium anatis. RNAcentral describes it as "isrK". It matches the Rfam family "isrK Hfq binding RNA". Lineage: Bacteria; Pseudomonadati; Pseudomonadota; Gammaproteobacteria; Pasteurellales; Pasteurellaceae. The record is from RNAcentral. RNAcentral also lists the same sequence under 1 other name.
GCUUUCGCAAAAUCGAAAGCCAGCCGUGACAAGCUGAAUAUUUUACAGGCGAACAGCACGCCAAAACGUGCUUUUU